Molecule: ribosomal RNA, 1333 nt
Filed under: uncultured bacterium
Lineage: Bacteria
Description: bacterial SSU rRNA
Rfam family: Bacterial small subunit ribosomal RNA
Source: RNAcentral
GACGAACGCUGGCGGCGCGCCUAACACAUGCAAGUCGAACGAGCGAGAGAGAGCUUGCUUUCUCAAGCGAGUGGCGAACGGGUGAGUAACGCGUGAGGAACCUGCCUCAAAGAGGGGGACAACAGUUGGAAACGACUGCUAAUACCGCAUAAGCCCACGGCUCGGCAUCGAGCAGAGGGAAAAGGAGCAAUCCGCUUUGAGAUGGCCUCGCGUCCGAUUAGCUAGUUGGUGAGGUAAUGGCCCACCAAGGCGACGAUCGGUAGCCGGACUGAGAGGUUGAACGGCCACAUUGGGACUGAGACACGGCCCAGACUCCUACGGGAGGCAGCAGUGGGGAAUAUUGCACAAUGGGGGAAACCCUGAUGCAGCGACGCCGCGUGGAGGAAGAAGGUCUUCGGAUUGUAAACUCCUGUUGUUGAGGAAGAUAAUGACGGUACUCAACAAGGAAGUGACGGCUAACUACGUGCCAGCAGCCGCGGUAAAACGUAGGUCACAAGCGUUGUCCGGAAUUACUGGGUGUAAAGGGAGCGCAGGCGGGAAGACAAGUUGGAAGUGAAAUCCAUGGGCUCAACCCAUGAACUGCUUUCAAAACUGUUUUUCUUGAGUAGUGCAGAGGUAGGCGGAAUUCCCGGUGUAGCGGUGGAAUGCGUAGAUAUCGGGAGGAACACCAGUGGCGAAGGCGGCCUACUGGGCACCAACUGACGCUGAGGCUCGAAAGUGUGGGUAGCAAACAGGAUUAGAUACCCUGGUAGUCCACACUGUAAACGAUGAUUACUAGGUGUUGGAGGAUUGACCCCUUCAGUGCCGCAGUUAACACAAUAAGUAAUCCACCUGGGGAGUACGACCGCAAGGUUGAAACUCAAAGGAAUUGACGGGGGCCCGCACAAGCAGUGGAGUAUGUGGUUUAAUUCGACGCAACGCGAAGAACCUUACCAAGUCUUGACAUCCCUUGACGAUGCUGGAAACAGUAUUUCUCUUCGGAGCAAGGAGACAGGUGGUGCAUGGUUGUCGUCAGCUCGUGUCGUGAGAUGUUGGGUUAAGUCCCGCAACGAGCGCAACCCUUAUGGUCAGUUACUACGCAAGAGGACUCUGGCCAGACUGCCGUUGACAAAACGGAGGAAGGUGGGGAUGACGUCAAAUCAUCAUGCCCUUUAUGACUUGGGCUACACACGUACUACAAUGGCGUUAAACAAAGAGAAGCAAGACCGCGAGGUGGAGCAAAACUCAGAAACAACGUCCCAGUUCGGACUGCAGGCUGCAACUCGCCUGCACGAAGUCGGAAUUGCUAGUAAUCGCAGAUCAGCAUGCUGCGGUGAAUACGUUCCCGGGCCUU